This 275-nucleotide long non-coding RNA is filed under the name Setaria viridis. RNAcentral's name for it is "long non-coding RNA (SVIR_LNC001537)". Lineage: Eukaryota; Viridiplantae; Streptophyta; Magnoliopsida; Poales; Poaceae. The record is from RNAcentral.
GGAUAAAAGGAAGGGCCAGGCCAAUUGAAUAUUCAGAAGCUCCAUUAUGUCUUCUUUCCAACGCAUCAAGAAUUUCUAAUUUCGGAGAUCCGUACAAGGAGUUAUGAUAGAAUCUUGCAAUGUUGCGCGUUCUGAAAUCAGCUUGGGACAAAACAUAGUGCCAGAGUAAAACGGGCAUAAUUCUUUCAUCUAGAAUCCAUUUUAGGUAAAUGACCACUUGAUGGAAAUGGAAUUUGAUUCACUUUGUAAUGGAGUAUAAGUUUGUUACAUGUUCU